CCUACGGGAGGCAGCAGUGAGGAAUAUUGGUCAAUGGGCUUACGCCUGAACCAGCCAAGUCGCGUGAGGGAAGACUGCCCUAUGGGUUGUAAACCUCUUUUGUCAGGGAGCAACGCCGGCUACGUGUAGCCGGACUGAGAGUACCUGAAGAAACAGCAACGGCUAACUCCGUGCAUGCAGCCGCGGUAAUACGGAGGUAGCGAGCGUUCUUCGGAUGUAUUGGGUUUAAAGGAUGCGUAGGCGGAAUGCCAAGUCAGCGGUAAAGUCGCGGGGCUCAACCUCACUGCGCCGUUGAAACUGGCGUUCUUGAGUGGGCAAGAGGUAUGCGGAAUUCGUGGUGUAGCGGUGAAAUGCAUAGAUAUCUCGCGGAACACCAGUUGCGAAGGCGACUUUCCGGCGCCCAACUGACGCUGAGGCACGAAAGCGUGGGUAUCGAACAGGAUUAGAUACCCUAGUAGUC
This 460-nucleotide ribosomal RNA is filed under the name uncultured bacterium. RNAcentral describes it as "partial 16S ribosomal RNA". It matches the Rfam family "Bacterial small subunit ribosomal RNA", at positions 338 to 795 of the family's 1533-position model. The record is from RNAcentral.